AAGGUAAACUAUGCAGUCGCAUACGGUUUGUAUGAGGAAAGUCCGAGCUCCACAGGGCAAGAAUGCCGGAUAACGUCCGGUAGAGGCAACUCUAAGGAUAGUGCAACAGAGAGAUACCGCCAGUAAAAGCUGGUAAGGGUGGAAAGGCGAGGUAAGAGCUCACCGGCAAUUUGGUGACAAGUUGGCCAUGUAAACCCCAUUCGGAGCAAGACCAAGUAGAGGCAUGAAAGAGGGCUGCCCGUCCUUCCUCGGUGGUAGGUUGCUGGAUUUUGCCGGUAACGGCAGAACGAGAUAGAUGACUGCACACGACAGAACUCGGCUUAUCGGUUUGCCUUUGUU
This is a non-coding RNA of Filifactor alocis ATCC 35896, 339 nucleotides long. It matches the Rfam family "Bacterial RNase P class A". From Rfam's summary of the family: Ribonuclease P (RNase P) is a ubiquitous endoribonuclease, found in archaea, bacteria and eukarya as well as chloroplasts and mitochondria. Lineage: Bacteria; Bacillati; Bacillota; Clostridia; Peptostreptococcales; Filifactoraceae. The record is from Rfam.